AACGAUUGAGCGGGCAUGAAACGUCAUCAACACGCGACAUUUCGCAUUUUUUUUUCUACUAAACCGAAGGAAACUUACCUAUAUAGCCACCAAAUAUUUGACAUUUUACGUGCUACUCACGAGACUGCAAAAGACAUAUCGUCAUCUACGCCAAACAACUUCUGUGUCAAGAUGACAGGUGUGAAGUGCCCCUCCAGAGUCUUUCUAGUACUCCAAACCGCCACCAGAUGAUGAAAGUGGGGUGUACUCUUGUAAAAGCGCGGCUGCAUUCCUCAACAUCUCCUGGAGGUGGCGCACCGUCGCGGCGUGAACGUCCCUCCUCAACACCAAACCCCGAA
This is a long non-coding RNA of Syngnathoides biaculeatus (alligator pipefish), 338 nucleotides long. RefSeq lists it as uncharacterized. NCBI's taxonomy places the organism in Eukaryota, Metazoa, Chordata, Actinopteri, Syngnathiformes, Syngnathidae. The record is from RefSeq and is a predicted model, not a curated record. The transcript is spliced from 3 exons.